This 450-nucleotide ribosomal RNA is filed under the name uncultured bacterium. RNAcentral describes it as "bacterial SSU rRNA". It matches the Rfam family "Bacterial small subunit ribosomal RNA", at positions 10 to 507 of the family's 1533-position model. The record is from RNAcentral.
AGUUUGAUCCUGGCUCAGAACGAACGCUGGCGGCAGGCCUAACACAUGCAAGUCGAACGAACCUUUUAGGUGAGUGGCGCACGGGUGCGUAACACGUGGGAAUAUACACUUCGGUAAGGAACAACACAGAGAAAUUUGUGCUAAUACCUUAUAAUGACUCCGGUCCAAAGAUUUAUCGCCGAAGGAUUAGCCCGCGCUAGAUUAGUUUGUUGGUGAGGUAAGAGCUCACCAAGACUACGAUCUAUAGCUGGUCUUAGAGGAUGAUCAGCCACACUGGAACUGAGACACGGUCCAGACUCCUACGGGAGGCAGCAGUGAGGAAUAUUGGACAAUGGGGGCAACCCUGAUCCAGCCAUGCCGCGUGAAUGAAGAAGGCCUUAGGGUUGUAAAAUUCUUUCAGAUGCGAAGAUAAUGACGGUACCAUCAGAAGAAGCUCCGGCUAAAUUCGUG